CGGUAGACGCUACGGACUUAAAUAAUUUGAGCGUUAGUAGAAAAACUUACUAAAUGCUAGCUUUCAGAUUCAGGGAAACUUAGGUUGAUAAAAAUAUAAGCAAUCCUGAGCCAAAUCUUAUUUCGUUUGAAAAUAAAAUAGGUGCAGAGACUCAAUGGAAGCUAUCCUAACGAAUAACAUUUUAAAAAUUAUUUAAAAUUUAUUUUUUAGAUAUUAAGCGAGGAUAAAGAUAGAGUCCAAUUUUACAUGUUAAUUUUAGCAACAAUUUAAAUUGUAGUAGAAAGAAAAUCCGUUGGCUUUAUUGACCGUGAGGGUUCAAGUCCCUCUACCCCCA
This 334-nucleotide non-coding RNA is filed under the name Sarmentypnum exannulatum. Its description in RNAcentral is "partial tRNA-Leu". The stretch from base 10 to 259 matches the Rfam family "Group I catalytic intron". From Rfam's summary of the family: Group I catalytic introns are large self-splicing ribozymes. They catalyse their own excision from mRNA, tRNA and rRNA precursors in a wide range of organisms. The record is from RNAcentral. Lineage: Eukaryota; Viridiplantae; Streptophyta; Bryopsida; Hypnales; Amblystegiaceae.